RNAcentral lists this ribosomal RNA (204 nucleotides) under Clostridioides difficile. RNAcentral describes it as "partial 16S ribosomal RNA". It matches the Rfam family "Bacterial small subunit ribosomal RNA", at positions 1 to 211 of the family's 1533-position model. Lineage: Bacteria; Bacillati; Bacillota; Clostridia; Peptostreptococcales; Peptostreptococcaceae. The record is from RNAcentral.
UUAUUUGAGAGUUUGAUCCUGGCUCAGGAUGAACGCUGGCGGCGUGCCUAACACAUGCAAGUUGAGCGAUUUACUUCGGUAAAGAGCGGCGGACGGGUGAGUAACGCGUGGGUAACCUACCCUGUACACACGGAUAACAUACCGAAAGGUAUGCUAAUACGGGAUAAUAUAUUUGAGAGGCAUCUCUUGAAUAUCAAAGGUGAG